UAGAGUUUGAUCAUGGCUCAGAGCGAACGCUGGCGGCAGGCCUAACACAUGCAAGUCGAGCGCCCGUAGCAAUACGGGAGCGGCAGACGGGAGAGUAACACGUGGGAACGCGCCCUUCGGUUCGGAAUAACUCAGGGAAACUUGAGCUAAUACCGAAUACGCCCUAACGGGGAAAGAUUUAUCGCCGAAGGAACGGCCCGCGUCCGAUUAGCUAGUUGGUGAGGUAAUGGCUCACCAAGGCGACGAUCGGUAGCUGGUCUGAGAGGAUGACCAGCCUCACUGGGACUGAGACACGGCCCAGACUCCUACGGGAGGCAGCAGUGGGGAAUAUUGGRCMAWKGGSSSMARSCCUGAUCCAGCCAUGCCGCGUGGAUGAUGAAGGCCCUAGGGUUGUAAAGUCCUUUUAACGGGGAAGAUAAUGACGGUACCCGUAGAAUAAGCCCCGGCUAACUUCGUGCCAGCCGCCGCGGUAAUUC
RNAcentral lists this ribosomal RNA (476 nucleotides) under uncultured Methylocystis sp. RNAcentral's name for it is "partial 16S ribosomal RNA". It matches the Rfam family "Bacterial small subunit ribosomal RNA", at positions 1 to 526 of the family's 1533-position model. Lineage: Bacteria; Pseudomonadati; Pseudomonadota; Alphaproteobacteria; Hyphomicrobiales; Methylocystaceae. The record is from RNAcentral.